UUGUCUUUUUAUAUAUAAGAUCGGUUAGCAUCGUUUUCUUCGUUUGUUAGAAGCUAUAGCAGAGAGUGCUUUGCUUAUAUCAGUUGCAGAGACUCUGAUGAUGUCUCAAAAGCCUUUGCACCAGCUCCUGCAAGAGGAUCAAGAACCAUUCUUGCUCAAGAACUACAUUGCUGACAAACGUUGCCAGCUCAAGAAACCCUCUCCAAAAACUCACUUGCAAAUCAAGAAACGAAAGCCCAUUUCGGAUACCGCGUACUUCCCUCACAAUUUCUGCAAGAAUGCUUGCUUUUUAUCUGUUAACAACUCCCCAGACCUCAGAAAGUCACCUCUCUUUGAGUUUCAAUCUCCUUCCAAAAGCCCCUGCAAAAGCCCAAAUGCCAUCUUCCUCCAUAUCCCUACUAAAACCGCAGCUCUUCUUCUUGAAGCUGCCCUCAGGAUCCAAAAACAGUCAUUAUCACCAUUAUCUCCAAAAGCCAAAAACAACAAUGGGUUUGGUUUAUUUGGGUCCUUAAUAAAGAGAAUAACUCAUCGUAAUAAAACCCGAACGCGAGAAAUCACUAGCGAUGGGGUUAAAGCUUCGGUUAAGGACAUUCGAAGGUGGGGCUCCUCUCUUAGCCGUAGAAAACUAUCCAAUGAAAG
This 639-nucleotide unclassified non-coding RNA is filed under the name Hevea brasiliensis (rubber tree). The record is from RNAcentral. Lineage: Eukaryota; Viridiplantae; Streptophyta; Magnoliopsida; Malpighiales; Euphorbiaceae.